This 1371-nucleotide ribosomal RNA is filed under the name uncultured bacterium. Its description in RNAcentral is "bacterial SSU rRNA". It matches the Rfam family "Bacterial small subunit ribosomal RNA", at positions 28 to 1381 of the family's 1533-position model. The record is from RNAcentral.
GAUGAACGCUGGCGGCGUGCCUAAUACAUGCAAGUCGAGCGAACGGACGAGAAGCUUGCUUCUCUGAUGUUAGCGGCGGACGGGUGAGUAACACGUGGAUAACCUACCUAUAAGACUGGGAUAACUUCGGGAAACCGGAGCUAAUACCGGAUAAUAUUUUGAACCGCAUGGUUCAAAAGUGAAAGACGGUCUUGCUGUCACUUAUAGAUGGAUCCGCGCUGCAUUAGCUAGUUGGUAAGGUAACGGCUUACCAAGGCAACGAUGCAUAGCCGACCUGAGAGGGUGAUCGGCCACACUGGAACUGAGACACGGUCCAGACUCCUACGGGAGGCAGCAGUAGGGAAUCUUCCGCAAUGGGCGAAAGCCUGACGGAGCAACGCCGCGUGAGUGAUGAAGGUCUUCGGAUCGUAAAACUCUGUUAUUAGGGAAGAACAUAUGUGUAAGUAACUGUGCACAUCUUGACGGUACCUAAUCAGAAAGCCACGGCUAACUACGUGCCAGCAGCCGCGGUAAUACGUAGGUGGCAAGCAUUAUCCGGAAAUUAUUGGGCGUAAGCGCGCGUAGGCGGUUUUUUAGUCUGAUGUGAAAGCCCACGGCUCAACCGUGGAGGGUCAUUGGAAACUGGAAAACUUGAGUGCAGAAGAGGAAAGUGGAAUUCCAUGUGUAGCGGUGAAAUGCGCAGAGAUAUGGAGGAACACCAGUGGCGAAGGCGACUUUCUGGUCUGUAACUGACGCUGAUGUGCGAAAGCGUGGGGAUCAAACAGGAUUAGAUACCCUGGUAGUCCACGCCGUAAACGAUGAGUGCUAAGUGUUAGGGGGUUUCCGCCCCUUAGUGCUGCAGCUAACGCAUUAAGCACUCCGCCUGGGGAGUACGACCGCAAGGUUGAAACUCAAAGGAAUUGACGGGGACCCGCACAAGCGGUGGAGCAUGUGGUUUAAUUCGAAGCAACGCGAAGAACCUUACCAAAUCUUGACAUCCUUUGACAACUCUAGAGAUAGAGCUUUCCCCUUCGGGGGACAAAGUGACAGGUGGUGCAUGGUUGUCGUCAGCUCGUGUCGUGAGAUGUUGGGUUAAGUCCCGCAACGAGCGCAACCCUUAAGCUUAGUUGCCAUCAUUAAGUUGGGCACUCUAAGUUGACUGCCGGUGACAAACCGGAGGAAGGUGGGGAUGACGUCAAAUCAUCAUGCCCCUUAUGAUUUGGGCUACACACGUGCUACAAUGGACAAUACAAAGGGCAGCGAAACCGCGAGGUCAAGCAAAUCCCAUAAAGUUGUUCUCAGUUCGGAUUGUAGUCUGCAACUCGACUACAUGAAGCUGGAAUCGCUAGUAAUCGUAGAUCAGCAUGCUACGGUGAAUACGUUCCCGGGUCU